UACCAGCACCCCGAGUGGUCGGGACGGUUAUUGGGCCUAAAGCAUCCGUAGCCGGUUCUACGAGUCUUCCGUUAAAUCCAACUGCUUAACAGGUGGGCUGCGGAAGAUACUAUAGAGCUAGGAGGCGGGAGAGGCAAGCGGUACUCGAUGGGUAGGGGUAAAAUCCGUUGAUCCAUUGAAGACCACCAGUGGCGAAGGCGGCUUGCCAGAACGCGCUCGACGGUGAGGGAUGAAAGCUGGGGGAGCAAACCGG
Molecule: ribosomal RNA, 253 nt
Filed under: uncultured bacterium
Lineage: Bacteria
Description: partial 16S ribosomal RNA
Rfam family: Archaeal small subunit ribosomal RNA
Source: RNAcentral